This 756-nucleotide non-coding RNA is filed under the name Cryptococcus amylolentus CBS 6039. RNAcentral describes it as "Bacterial small subunit ribosomal RNA". It matches the Rfam family "Bacterial small subunit ribosomal RNA", at positions 566 to 1533 of the family's 1533-position model. The record is from Rfam by way of RNAcentral. Lineage: Eukaryota; Fungi; Basidiomycota; Tremellomycetes; Tremellales; Cryptococcaceae.
GCUAUUUAGAAUUAGAUCAGGAUAUACCGCAAAUAGGGCGCCAAGAGCAUGGAACCGGAUUCGAUACCCGGAUACUUCUUGCCGUAAACGAUGCAGACUAUGAGAUCAGUAGAUAAACUAUUGGUUUUCGUUGCUAACGCUAGAGUCUGCCACCUGCAUAGUACAGUCGAAAGACCGAAACGUCAAUGAUUAGACCGUUCUCAGGCACAUGGAGUGAAGUAUGCCGUUUAAUACGAUAGCCCGCGUAAAAUCUUACCACUUCUUGCAUCUUAUCUAAAUCAGUAGAUAUGACAGGUGUUGCAUGGCUGUCGUCAGUUAGUGUUCGUGAGACCUAUGGUUGAUUCCGUAUAACUAACGCAAACCUCGCUAUGAAUAUAUAUGUUUUAUAGUCUAGAUUUGAUAUAAGUCUAGUUUAGGAGGACUAUGACAAGCCUUCAUGACCCUUAUGAAGUGGGCUACACGCGUGCCACUAGAAUAUCAACAAUGUGAUACAAUACUGAAAAGUGGAGUUAACCAUCAACUGAUAUUAAUGUACGGAUUAAAGGCUGGAACUCGCCUUUAUGAAGUAGGAAUUCCGAGUAAUCGCGUAUCAUAACGACGCGGUGAAGUAUACCUCUGGGUGGGUACUAAUUGCUCGUCACGGGGGGGUAGGCAAAUAUUGUUGAAUAAUGUUCUCGUUAGAAACAAUAUAGGCUGAUUUCUCUGAAGUCGAAACAUAGUAGCCGUAAGGGAACUUGUGGCUGAUUAAUAAAUCUU